AUUGCAGGCUGCAACUCGCCUGCAUGAAGUUGGAAUUGCUAGUAAUCGCGAAUCAGAAUGUCGCGGUGAAUACGUUCCCGGGCCUUGUACACACCGCCCGUCACACCAUGGGAGUCAGUAACGCCCGAAGUCAGUGACCCAACCAUAAAGGAGGGAGCUGCCGAAGGUGGGACCGAUAACUGGGGUGAAGUCGUAACAAGGUAUC
RNAcentral lists this ribosomal RNA (205 nucleotides) under uncultured bacterium. RNAcentral's name for it is "partial 16S ribosomal RNA". It matches the Rfam family "Bacterial small subunit ribosomal RNA", at positions 1297 to 1500 of the family's 1533-position model. The record is from RNAcentral.